CAGCAGCCACGGGAAUACGAAGGGGGCUAGCGUUGUUCGGAAUUACUGGGCGUAAAGCGCACGUAGGCGGAUCGAUCAGUCAGGGGUGAAGUCCCAGGGCUCAACCCUGGAACUGCCUUUGAUACUGUCGAUCUGGAGUAUGGAAGAGGUGAGUGGAACUCCGAGUGUAGAGGUGAAAUUCGUAGAUAUUCGGAGGAACACCAGUGGCGAAGGCGGCUCACUGGUCCAUUACUGACGCUGAGGUGCGAAAGCGUGGGGAGCAAACAGGAUUAGAUACCCCGGUAGUCCCUGUCUCUUAUAC
This 301-nucleotide ribosomal RNA is filed under the name uncultured bacterium. RNAcentral's name for it is "partial 16S ribosomal RNA". It matches the Rfam family "Bacterial small subunit ribosomal RNA", at positions 509 to 807 of the family's 1533-position model. The record is from RNAcentral.